This 619-nucleotide ribosomal RNA is filed under the name Escherichia coli. Its description in RNAcentral is "partial 23S ribosomal RNA". It matches the Rfam family "Bacterial large subunit ribosomal RNA", at positions 1291 to 1895 of the family's 2925-position model. The record is from RNAcentral. Lineage: Bacteria; Pseudomonadati; Pseudomonadota; Gammaproteobacteria; Enterobacterales; Enterobacteriaceae.
CGAAUGCUGACAUAAGUAACGAUAAAGCGGGUGAAAAGCCCGCUCGCCGGAAGACCAAGGGUUCCUGUCCAACGUUAAUCGGGGCAGGGUGAGUCGACCCCUAAGGCGAGGCCGAAAGGCGUAGUCGAUGGGAAACAGGUUAAUAUUCCUGUACUUGGUGUUACUGCGAAGGGGGGACGGAGAAGGCUAUGUUGGCCGGGCGACGGUUGUCCCGGUUUAAGCGUGUAGGCUGGUUUUCCAGGCAAAUCCGGAAAAUCAAGGCUGAGGCGUGAUGACGAGGCACUACGGUGCUGAAGCAACAAAUGCCCUGCUUCCAGGAAAAGCCUCUAAGCAUCAGGUAACAUCAAAUCGUACCCCAAACCGACACAGGUGGUCAGGUAGAGAAUACCAAGGCGCUUGAGAGAACUCGGGUGAAGGAACUAGGCAAAAUGGUGCCGUAACUUCGGGAGAAGGCACGCUGAUAUGUAGGUGAAGUCCCUCGCGGAUGGAGCUGAAAUCAGUCGAAGAUACCAGCUGGCUGCAACUGUUUAUUAAAAACACAGCACUGUGCAAACACGAAAGUGGACGUAUACGGUGUGACGCCUGCCCGGUGCCGGAAGGUUAAUUGAUGGGGUUAGCG